This 298-nucleotide signal recognition particle RNA is filed under the name Cebus imitator (Panamanian white-faced capuchin). RNAcentral describes it as "Metazoan signal recognition particle RNA (ENSCCAG00000004666.1)". It matches the Rfam family "Metazoan signal recognition particle RNA". Rfam says of the family: The signal recognition particle (SRP) is a universally conserved ribonucleoprotein. It is involved in the co-translational targeting of proteins to membranes. The record is from RNAcentral. Lineage: Eukaryota; Metazoa; Chordata; Mammalia; Primates; Cebidae.
GCUGGGUGCAGUGGCAUGUGCUCUAGUCCCAACUACUCAGGAGGCUGAGGUGGGAGGAUCACUUGAGCCCAGGAGUUCUGGGCUGUAGUGCGCUAUGCCAAUCGGGUGUCCACACUAAGUUUGGCAUCAAUAUGGUGACCUCCCAGGAGCGGGGGACCACCAGGUUGCCUAAGGAGGGGUGAACCAGCCCAGAUCGGAAACGGAGCAGGUCAAAACUCCUGUGCUGGUCAGUAGUGGGAUUGCACCUAUGAAUAGCCAUUGCACUCCAGCCUGGGCAACAUAGUGAGAUCCCGUUUCU